Molecule: non-coding RNA, 75 nt
Organism: Uloborus diversus
Lineage: Eukaryota; Metazoa; Arthropoda; Arachnida; Araneae; Uloboridae
Source: the annotation of a RefSeq genome assembly
GCCCCAGUGGCGCAACUGGUUAGCGCGCGGGUACUUAUAAUGCCGAGGUUGUGAGUUCGAUCCUCACCUGGGGCA